This 349-nucleotide long non-coding RNA is filed under the name Gossypium raimondii (Peruvian cotton). RNAcentral's name for it is "long non-coding RNA (GRAI_LNC007992)". The record is from RNAcentral. Lineage: Eukaryota; Viridiplantae; Streptophyta; Magnoliopsida; Malvales; Malvaceae.
AAGCCCAAUAACAGUCCAAAUUACAAAACAAAAUAGCAGGCCCAAACCCAAAUGCAAGCCCAAAAAAACCCUAAUGGCCCAAUAUCUAAACAGCAUUCAAAAAAAAAAGAGGAAGGAACCCUAGCCACCGCACCCUAUCCCUAGCCUUAGCCACAAACUCCUCUGACAGUCGCUGCAACCACCGCUCCUCCCUACCGCGCCAACCACUCCCUGCAAAGAAGAACAAACACGCAAGAAACAGUGAAAAAUAGAAGAAUAAUGUUGUAAAAUCGGCUAUAAAAAGCCUAAAAAUGGAUUGUAAAAGGGGGAUUUUUCUUGAAUAAAAAGAGAACAGAUUCAAGCAAAAAAA